RNAcentral lists this ribosomal RNA (2755 nucleotides) under Escherichia coli. RNAcentral's name for it is "23S ribosomal RNA". It matches the Rfam family "Bacterial large subunit ribosomal RNA". Lineage: Bacteria; Pseudomonadati; Pseudomonadota; Gammaproteobacteria; Enterobacterales; Enterobacteriaceae. The record is from RNAcentral.
GGGUUGUGAGGUUAAGCGACUAAGCGUACACGGUGGAUGCCCUGGCAGUCAGAGGCGAUGAAGGACGUGCUAAUCUGCGAUAAGCGUCGGUGAGGUGAUAUGAACCGUUAUAACCGGCGAUUUCCGAAUGGGGAAACCCAGUGUGUUUCGACACACUAUCAUUAACUGAAUCCAUAGGUUAAUGAGGCGAACCGGGGGAACUGAAACAUCUAAGUACCCCGAGGAAAAGAAAUCAACCGAGAUUCCCCCAGUAGCGGCGAGCGAACGGGGAGGAGCCCAGAGCCUGAAUCAGUGUGUGUGUUAGUGGAAGCGUCUGGAAAGGCGUGCGAUACAGGGUGACAGCCCCGUACACAAAAAUGCACAUAUUGUGAGCUCGAUGAGUAGGGCGGGACACGUGGUAUCCUGUCUGAAUAUGGGGGGACCAUCCUCCAAGGCUAAAUACUCCUGACUGACCGAUAGUGAACCAGUACCGUGAGGGAAAGGCGAAAAGAACCCCGGCGAGGGGAGUGAAAAAGAACCUGAAACCGUGUACGUACAAGCAGUGGGAGCCUCUUAAUGGGGUGACUGCGUACCUUUUGUAUAAUGGGUCAGCGACUUAUAUUCUGUAGCAAGGUUAACCGAAUAGGGGAGCCGAAGGGAAACCGAGUCUUAACUGGGCGUUAAGUUGCAGGGUAUAGACCCGAAACCCGGUGAUCUAGCCAUGGGCAGGUUGAAGGUUGGGUAACACUAACUGGAGGACCGAACCGACUAAUGUUGAAAAAUUAGCGGAUGACUUGUGGCUGGGGGUGAAAGGCCAAUCAAACCGGGAGAUAGCUGGUUCUCCCCGAAAGCUAUUUAGGUAGCGCCUCGUGAAUUCAUCUCCGGGGGUAGAGCACUGUUUCGGCAAGGGGGUCAUCCCGACUUACCAACCCGAUGCAAACUGCGAAUACCGGAGAAUGUUAUCACGGGAGACACACGGCGGGUGCUAACGUCCGUCGUGAAGAGGGAAACAACCCAGACCGCCAGCUAAGGUCCCAAAGUCAUGGUUAAGUGGGAAACGAUGUGGGAAGGCCCAGACAGCCAGGAUGUUGGCUUAGAAGCAGCCAUCAUUUAAAGAAAGCGUAAUAGCUCACUGGUCGAGUCGGCCUGCGCGGAAGAUGUAACGGGGCUAAACCAUGCACCGAAGCUGCGGCAGCGACACUAUGUGUUGUUGGGUAGGGGAGCGUUCUGUAAGCCUGUGAAGGUGGCCUGUGAGGGUUGCUGGAGGUAUCAGAAGUGCGAAUGCUGACAUAAGUAACGAUAAAGCGGGUGAAAAGCCCGCUCGCCGGAAGACCAAGGGUUCCUGUCCAACGUUAAUCGGGGCAGGGUGAGUCGACCCCUAAGGCGAGGCCGAAAGGCGUAGUCGAUGGGAAACAGGUUAAUAUUCCUGUACUUGGUGUUACUGCGAAGGGGGGACGGAGAAGGCUAUGUUGGCCGGGCGACGGUUGUCCCGGUUUAAGCGUGUAGGCUGGUUUUCCAGGCAAAUCCGGAAAACCAAGGCUGAGGCGUGAUGACGAGGCACUACGGUGCUGAAGNNNNNNNNNNNNNNNNNNNNNNNNNNNNNNNNNNNNNNNNNNNNNNNNNNNNNNNNNNNNNNNNNNNNNNNNNNNNNNNNNNNNNNNNNNNNNNNNNNNNNNNNNNNNNNNNNNNNNNNNNNNNNNNNNGCUCGUGGAGCUGAAAUCAGUCGAAGAUACCAGCUGGCUGCAACUGUUUAUUAAAAACACAGCACUGUGCAAACACGAAAGUGGACGUAUACGGUGUGACGCCUGCCCGGUGCCGGAAGGUUAAUUGAUGGGGUUAGCGGUAACGCGAAGCUCUUGAUCGAAGCCCCGGUAAACGGCGGCCGUAACUAUAACGGUCCUAAGGUAGCGAAAUUCCUUGUCGGGUAAGUUCCGACCUGCACGAAUGGCGUAAUGAUGGCCAGGCUGUCUCCACCCGAGACUCAGUGAAAUUGAACUCGCUGUGAAGAUGCAGUGUACCCGCGGCAAGACGGAAAGACCCCGUGAACCUUUACUAUAGCUUGACACUGAACAUUGAGCCUUGAUGUGUAGGAUAGGUGGGAGGCUUUGAAGUGUGGACGCCAGUCUGCAUGGAGCCGACCUUGAAAUACCACCCUUUAAUGUUUGAUGUUCUAACGUUGGCCCGUAAUCCGGGUUGCGGACAGUGUCUGGUGGGUAGUUUGACUGGGGCGGUCUCCUCCUAAAGAGUAACGGAGGAGCACGAAGGUUGGCUAAUCCUGGUCGGACAUCAGGAGGUUAGUGCAAUGGCAUAAGCCAGCUUGACUGCGAGCGUGACGGCGCGAGCAGGUGCGAAAGCAGGUCAUAGUGAUCCGGUGGUUCUGAAUGGAAGGGCCAUCGCUCAACGGAUAAAAGGUACUCCGGGGAUAACAGGCUGAUACCGCCCAAGAGUUCAUAUCGACGGCGGUGUUUGGCACCUCGAUGUCGGCUCAUCACAUCCUGGGGCUGAAGUAGGUCCCAAGGGUAUGGCUGUUCGCCAUUUAAAGUGGUACGCGAGCUGGGUUUAGAACGUCGUGAGACAGUUCGGUCCCUAUCUGCCGUGGGCGCUGGAGAACUGAGGGGGGCUGCUCCUAGUACGAGAGGACCGGAGUGGACGCAUCACUGGUGUUCGGGUUGUCAUGCCAAUGGCACUGCCCGGUAGCUAAAUGCGGAAGAGAUAAGUGCUGAAAGCAUCUAAGCACGAAACUUGCCCCGAGAUGAGUUCUCCCUGACUCCUUGAG